This 9470-nucleotide long non-coding RNA is filed under the name Mytilus galloprovincialis (Mediterranean mussel). Lineage: Eukaryota; Metazoa; Mollusca; Bivalvia; Mytilida; Mytilidae. The record is from RNAcentral.
GAGAAUACGAAACAAGUGACAAAAUUCUUCGUAAAUGUGUUUACUUCCAUGAAGUAACUAGGUGACUGAUCAGUGUAUGUGUUCACAUCCCUUUGUAUUUUUGUUAAAGCAGAGUUUGUAACCUUAUUUCUUAACGUUCAUUUUCAAACGUAUGCCGAUAGCUAUGUUCCUUAUCUUAACUUUUUUUGAUGGAAUUUAAAGGCAGUUCCUCUUUAGCCACAUACAUGUACCUCUGGUCAUUGAAUAAUAGUUCGGUAAACUGUUACGAAUCACUUGAGCACAAACAUCAAAUGUAGAUUUAUAUCUCGAAGAGGAAAAAAAUGGUUGGAGUUGAAUAUCAAAGCGAGAUUUACAGAAAGAGAGCAUUGAGAAGAGCUUAAAGAAUAGCGAGUAACAAUACUGGCUAAGCCAAAGAUAGACAAAAGGUAACUGAAGUAUACUUACGGUCGUCAAGUUAAUUACUUAUGCCUUAUUCGUUACUCAUGUCUUAUUCCAUAUUUUUUUUACCUAUUCGUUACUUAUUCCUUAUUCCAUAUGUGUUACCUAUUCGUUACUUAUUCCUUAUUCCAUAUUUGUUACCUAUUACUUAUUCCUUAUUCGUUACCAAUUUCAUUCUUAUCCAUUCCUCUUUUUUUUUUUUAGGUACUUAUUUUUUUUAUUACUUAUUGCGUAUUUAUUACUUAUUCCAUAUUUAUUCUUUACUUAUUCCUUAUUUGUUUCUUAUUCGAUAUUAGUAUUUUUGCCCUAUAAAAUACUCUGAUAAUACUAAUCAAGUGAAAUAAUAGGUAUCUGUUUUUGCGCUUGACUAUACCCCUGUUACUUAUUCGAUUCUUUUUCGCAUUUUUAUACAUCUUAUGCAUCUUUUUAAUGAUUUCUUUUUUUUUUCUUUUUUGUCACUGGUGAUAGUUCAUGGAUCGUUGAAGUAACUCUUUUAACGCAUAAGCAUUUUUUUGGGGCGUUUGACAAAUACACUGUUACUUAUUUGCUACUUAUUAUUUGUUCUUUAUUAGAUUUUUAUACGUUGUUUUAUUUAUGUGUCUCUGGUGUUGAUUCUUGGUUCGAAGAGGUGAAAUUAUCCUUUAAAUGCAUAUGUAUCCGUUUCCGCGCUGUACUGAUACCCUGUUAUCUAGUGGCUACUUAAUUGUUCCUUAUUCACUUUAUAUACAUUGCAUUUUAAUGCUUUCUUUUUAGUUAUUUUCUUGUCUCAGGUGUGGGUUUGAAGAUGGGCGAAAACCAUAUGAGAGCGUGUGUGCUCAUUUCAGUGGGCGACCGAUACACUGUUUCUAAUUCGUUCCAUGUGCGUGUGUACUCCAUUGCACCUCUUAAAAAUAUUUUCAAUGUGUGCUGGUCUAUGGUGUCAGCUAUAGGUUCCUAGAGGUAACAAUGCCGACUUCAGCGGGUAUGUUCCCCUUAUAGCGCUCGACUGAUAUUAUGUUACUUUUUGCUACUAAUUCGUUCAUUAUUAACUUUUUAUACAUUGCAUCUUUUUAAUGCUUUCCUUUUUCAUUGUUUUCUUGUCUCUAGUAUUAUCUGUUUGUUUGUUGAAAAAAAAUAACUAUAUAAUCACGUAUGUAGUCUUUUCAGGCCGCGACGGAUACCCUGUUACUUAUUCGUUACUAUUAGUUUGUUAUACGCUUGUUAUACAUUGCAUCUUUCAAACCAAACCCUUUCAAUUUUUUUUAUUAGAGGUGAAUAACAUCAUUAGCUUCUAUGUACCCGUUUCAGCGCUUCACUGAUACCCUGUUACUUAUACGCUUCUUAAUCGGUCCUUAUUCCCUUUUUAUACAUUUUUGAAUGACUUCUUUUCCUUAUAUUCUUAUCUUUGGUGUGGGUUUGUAGAUUGGAAAUAACCAUAUGAGUGGGUAUGUUUGUUUCAGCGUGCGACUGAUAUUCUGUGACUUAUUUGUUUCCUACUCGUUUGUUAUUCGUUUUUCAUACGAUGCAUCUUGUAUAAACAAAAUUUGAAUAUGUUUUCUUGUCUCGGGUGUUAUCUAUGGGUUCUUAGAAGUCAAAAGAUCUAUAAGCGCGUACGUACCCGUUUCAAUGUUCGAUUGAUACCCGGUUUCUUAUUCGAUACUCAUUCGUUUCUUAUUAACUUUUUAUACGAUGAAACUUUUUCUGGCUUUCUUUUCUUACUUUUAGUCUCUGGUGUUAGAUGUAGGGUCGUAGAAAGAAAAUCAACCUUUCAAACGGGAUUUAACUAUUGUUUAUAUUUUGGACGCAUACGUAGGGGACGAUUAUGCAAUUUUGCGAGUUUGUAUGUAAUGAAACUUAUCAAAGUACUGGAAAUUUCUAUUCCUCGCAUUGGUAUUGUACUGAACUCGAGAUAUAAUAUGCUUCCGUUCCAUUUUACCUAAAGAACUACUAUAAGCACAACGAAUUUUAAUACAUAUAUGUUUUAUCAGUCAUGUAUGGAAAAAAUAGUCGUUUAUUAGUUAUUUUAAAUAAAAAUGAAAUUGAAAUUCAGUUAAUGAUUUAUUUAUAACAGGAAGAAAUGAAAACAGGAAUAACAAAAAUUCUUUACAAGUAGGAAUUAAUUACCACUAAAAAAUAUGCAUCACGAACCAUGAACUGUUGAUAUCAGAUGCAAGGUUAUGUGUCUUAAACACUUGAUUGGGAUACAAUCUAAUAAACUUAUCACAUUUGUCCACCAGAUUUUGCAGUCCAGUCUGUUAGUUUAAGACGUCCACCAUCUCAUGUAUUUUUUGAUUCUAUCGAAAAAUAAUUAAGCACCACGUACUGCAGCUAUCUAAACAUAUUUAAAAUGCAAGCCUCAGGAUUGUAUCCACUUGUAUUGGGGUCUUAAAUGAUAAACACAAUUAUUUGGUCUACCAGACUUGUUGAUCCAGUCUGCAAGUUGAAAAGGUCCACCCAUAACAUAUUCUUAGAAGAAAAAAACAAGCGAUUCGGACUGCACCUUUCUUCCAAAAUGUCGAAAUAACAAAUGUCUAAACCACUUGAUUGGGAUCUUAUCUUCGUGGUCCAGUCUGCAAGUUUAAGAUGACCACCCAGUUCAUAUAUUUAUAAGCCCCACCAACAGAACACAUUUAACAACCCGGUCUGCAGCUAUCCUACCCUGCAUCCAACAAACAAGGUACAGGGUCUAAAUCACUUUCUUCUGGUCUUAUCGGAUUCUUUGGCCUAUUUAUCCAUCAGAUUUGAAGCACAUCUAUUAGCACCUACAAAAAAUGAAUUACGCGAACAGCGCUGUACUUUUCAUCUAGUAGGUUCAACAGGCAAUGUCCAGAAUCUAAAUUACUCUGUUGUGGUCUUACCCGGUUUUAAUGCCAAUUUUGUAAACCAGACUGAAUGUUUUGGUCUACAAGGCCAACAUAGUAAGAUCUAUAACGGUGCCUUUCAUAAAGCAUAUUUCUUUGAUAACUGGAGAAAGCAAGGUUCAGAAGCUAAAUCACUCUGUUGUGAUCUUAAAAGUGACUUUGUCCAAAACCAGGUCGAGCGAAUUCAUGUAAGCCUAUUUUAAGCUGUUAUAUUAUAUCGCUUUAAAAUACCGCAACGUGUGAAUAGCAAACAAAAAACAAAACGGUUUUAGUAACAGGGUAUCAAUCAAGCGAGGAGACGGGAAAAACAUGCCAACAGGGUUAUUUCAUCUGCACAAACUAAUAACUAACACCAGAAAGCGAGGAGACGAGAAAAAACAUGCCAACAGGGUUAUUUCACCUGCACAAACUAAUAACUAACACCAGAAACAUGAAAACAAAAGAUCCAACGUAUAGAGAGCGAAUAAGGAACACAUAAAUAACAGGUUUAUCACCGGAGCGUUAAAACUGGCACAUAUGCGCUCACUGGGGUUAUUUCAACAGCACGAAUCAUAAAAGGGUUACUUCACGCCAACAAACUCACUGUUAACAAAAACAAAACAAAAAUAGGAAAAGAAAUAAACUAAAGGUGCACGUUGAAAUGAUGAAUAAAAACCCAAUAAGUAACGAAUAAGUAACAGGGUAUCAGUCAAGCACCGAAGCGGGUACAUACGCGCUAAUAUAGGGUUAUUUCAAGUCUUACAGCCCAGCGCUAACAUUAGAGAUUAAAAAAAGACGGCAGUAAAAAGAUGCAACAUAUACAAAGUUAAUAUCAGUACCAAAUAUAAACAGGGUAUCAGUCGAUCGCCGAACAGGUACAAAUGCGUAUAUAGGGUUAUGACACCUUUACCAGGCCUGAGCUAAGAGCAGAGAUAUAAAUAAUCAUUUGAGAUUGUGCUUUGGGAGGUGUAAAGUCACAAAAAAAAAAAAAAAAAAAACACAUAGUGAUGAGGAACGAUUAAGUACAGGUAUAAGUCAAAGACCAAUUGGUAACAUUAGAGACAUGAAAUAAAAGUAAAAGACAACAUUUAAAAGGUUAAACGUUAUGUAUUGAAAGAAUUACUGCAUGUGUUUACUCUUUUAAUUGUUUGGUAUUUGACAGCAUGGGAGAAUAGGUUGUUAGAAGUUAAAAAAAUUAUCUUGAUAUUUCCUUUAAUCAUUCUUGUAGUUGAGUUGCUUCUCAUGGAUAUACCCACAUCCUUCAAACAUGUAAGCUCCAUAUAAUGAUCCUAAAAAAGGUCAUACGAAAGUUAAAUCAAAAAUGUUAUUGUGUAUAAAUUAAGUGCUUUGUUUCUUCCAAUUAAAGAAAUUAUAAAAAUGCAUUGAACAAAGUUAAAACUCACUAUAAUGAUCUAUAAUUUCUAUUGCAAAAAAACAAAUCAUAAUUAUAUAUAUGUCUUUAAAAUAUUGAUUGUAAACCUUCGGACCACCAUUUAAGGGUUCUGUGCUUGAUUCCAUAUGGAUGAUUAAUAGCUUGUAAAUGAAAUAAACUACAUGUACAUGUUGUUAUGGAAAUUCUAUAGGUUAUUUCAAAGUCAGUUUAAAAUAAACUAUUAUCAUAAUUAUAGAUUCAUCAUAUCAUUAAAUUUAUCAAACAAAGGCACAUGCAGUGUAACCGCGUUCAACAAUUUCUAUAUUCAGCACUCAUCACUUUGCUUCUUUCCAUUUCUCUCCAAGAUGUGCAAAAUUGAUCUGAAAUAAAAAUUUAAUCUUUAAAUGACAAAAUUGUAACUAUGUAUGUAUGUAUGUAUGUACUGUAAAUGCCUCCCAAUCCGAAAACCCAUCGCAAGCUACAAGGUGCCAUGCAUCAUGUACACUCCUAACGGGAUUAAUGGAGAUGAUCAUGUGUCAACUAACAUUGUUUAUACAACAAUUAUGUUACAAAGACAAUCAAUCCUCCAACCAAAGGAGUGUAGGACACGGUAAGUCUGUUUUUAUAGUGGAGGAAGCGAAGUAUUCAGAAGAACCACGGGCCACUCGGAGGAAACAGACAAACCGUGAGAUAUCAGAGAUGAUCUCAGUCAAAGUAGGGACUCUAGUACAGAUUACUGUGAACUUGGAAAAGUUGUAAGCCUGCAUCCACUAGAUAUAUAAAGUAAAUGCAUUUGUGUUUCAGAAAGAUAAAUCUCUUGGAUUUUGAUGGCAUUUUUUCCUUCAUGCAAUGGUGUGAACAUUACUCAGUUGUGAUACAACUAUAGAUGCACCCUCAGUAAAAAACCGGUUGUAUUGUUUUGGUGUCCUUAAUUGACAUGGACAGAGUAUCUCACAACUAUAGGCGAGUUAAUCUGAGUCAGCGGUGAGUGGACAGUAUCAAAGUAAUUCAAGUGUUUGUUUAUUUUUGCACCUUCUGCAGAAUGGAAAAAUGCCAUCAAAAACCAGAAAGAUUUUAUUUAAUACAAAUUCAUUGAACUUUUAUAUAUCUAGUGGAUAUGCUAGGCAUUAAAACUUUCCAAACAGCACAGGUAAGUCUGUAUAUUGAGUGGUUUUUGAGUUGAAAUACUGCCAUAUUUGUUCAUUUGUUAUGAUGAACCUUAAACUCUGGUCUGGGUACCAGAGAUGUGUGUGAGAGGGUGAAAAUACCCUUUAAUGUACUGAAUUUUUGCACCCGAGUGAGAAUCGAACUCGGCGGGACCUUCAGCACUGUAGCCAUCGGUCUUGACCACUAGUCCACGAACUCUCUCGAAUGAUUUAUAAAGGGGACUAAUAACAAACACUGAAACUGACGUAUCUACAAAAAAGUAAUGCAUGCACUUGAGUAUGCAGUGUUUCAUUUCUUUAAAGAUAGUUCUUAUUAAUGAAGUAAAUGUAUUUGAAAGUAUAUUUACAAAUGCACAAAUCUUAUUACCUAGCUUUACAAAUUUCAGGCAUGGUGAAUGCUACUUCCUCCAUUUUUUAUUUUUUUUUAGUUUUACCACAAAGGAACGAUAAGUCUAGAAAAAUUCCGAAAAUAUCUAACUCAUGUGUUUGCAUAUUUGGACACGCCCUCACAUUACAAUCAUUCGAACCGAUUGGAUCCAGACUCUACAUAUGCAUAUGGAGCGUCUGGAUAAUCGAGACUACUCGAAAAAAAAAUAGGAACGAGUAAGGCACAAACAGGCAGGAAGGUGUAUGUGCGUUUAUAGGGUAAUCUCACCUCCACAAACCACAAGCUACCAACAGAGGCAAACACAUGAUAAAUAUAAUGCAACGUAUUAAAAGCAAAAAUAGAAUAAAUAAGUAACAGAGUAUAAGUCGCGCGCUGAAAGGGGAACAUACGCGCUCAUAUGUUUAUUUCCCGUCUACAAACCCAACACUAGAAAUAAGACGAUAAAAGAGAAGAAAGCAAAAAUAAGAUGCAACGUAUAAAAAGUUAACAAGAACGAACAAGUAGCGAAUAAGUGAUAGUAUAUCAGUGGAGCGCUGAAAUGGUACAUACGCACUUUUUCAAAAGUGCAAUGUUUAACAAGCGUAUUACACUGAUAAAAGAACGAAUUACUAACAGUCGCGUUCUGAAAUCGGUAUAUAAGCGUUUAUAGGAUGAUUCCCCAUCAAAAACUCACAGCUAACAUCAGGCACAAGGAAAUAAAAGAAAAGUAAGCAUUGACCAAAUGAGACGUAUAAAUAUUUAAUUAGGAACGAAUAAGUAGCGAAUAAGUAACAUGGUAUCAGUCGAGCGUUGAAACUGGUUCUUACGAGCCUAGAGGAUAAUUUCAUCGCUAAAAACAUAUUGCUAACACAUGUACACCAGAGGCAAGACAAUAUUUGAAAAGAUUUUUUAAAGGGAAAACGAAGUAGCAUACGCCUUACUUACGAAAAAGGAACAAAUAAAUAACGGGUAUCAGUCGCGCUGAAACGGGUGCAUUUGCGCUCAUAUGAUUAUUUUCCAUCUGCAAUUUCAUAGCUAAUAUUCACAUGAGACAAGAAAAUAAAAGAAAAAUCCAACAUUUAAAAUGUGAAUAAAGAAAAAAACAAGUAGGAAAUAAAAAACAGAGCAUCAGUCGCGCGCUCAAACGGGAACACACGCGCUUAUAUUGUUAUUUCACAUCUAAGAACCCGUAGCUAACACAAGAGACAAGAACAAAAUUGAAAAGUUCUUCUUAUAAAGGUUCCCCAUUCAUUGGUAUAAACCACAAUAUUACAACAAUAAGAGCAGUGUAUCAGUAGUGUGCUAUAACGAGAACAUUACGCGCAUGACCCCCCCCCCCCCCCCCCCCCCCCCCACAAAAAAAAACAAAACAAAAGAAAAUAAAGCAUUAAAAGGUGCAACGUACAAAAAAUGAAUAAGUAACGAAUAAGGAACGAGUAAGUCAAAUGGUAUCAAUCGAGCGCUGAAACGGGGAAAACAUUAUAAGAUAUGUCACCUCUCAGAACCAACAGAUAAUACCAGAGACGAGAACAAUUCAAAUAUAUUCUUAAGUUGCAACGUAUAACAAACGAAGUAGUAACGAAUAAGUACCAGAGUAUUUUUAUGAAAUGAAACUUCAGCUGACUAUGGACUCAACGUGUAGUAAAAAGAUGAUUUUCAAAUAUGCAAGACUCAUCAACAUUAAAAUGUGCAUAAGUGAAAUGUUACCAUAUUUAGUAAAAAAAUUCAGAAUAUUGACUCAGUUGUUUUCAUGAUUUUGUUUUUGUUUUUCAAAGCAAUUCACUUUGUAUAUAAUAAGAGUCCACAUUUUAUUUUAUACUUCGACAAACGAAUAUAUCUUCCUCAGGACUCCAGUGUUUCCCUUUUUAUUUUGCAUUGAGUUUAAUUUAAAGGAAAGGACGUUACUUAGGCAAUUAAUUUUACAAAUUUCCUAUUUUUUUUUUUCAUGUAAAUUAACUUUUACCCAUCAGUUGUAAAACUCAAUUUUGUUUAAAUUUUUUUCAGAAUUGAACCACAAGAGGCUGAAUAUUGAUCAAUAACUCACUUUUGAUAUUUAUCACAUAUCACAUACUUAAAUAAUCUAUAAAAUUGAAAAUGGAAAUGGGGAUUGUGUCAAAGAUACAGCACCCCUACCAAAGAGCAGAUAACAUGAGCAAAACCAAUAGUGUGCUUAGAUUGAUUACCUUCACUUUUGCCCUGUUGUUGAGAUUUAGUGAAAUACUUUAAUAAUUUUAUCCCUUUUCAAUUUAAGGAGAGGGGAACCAGUAUUCAACACUGCAUUACUACAUGUAUGUCUUAUCACCAGUUACAAAUGUAUGAUACAGCCAACCAUACAACAUAGCCCCUAUGACUGAAAGGAGAAAAGAGAUGCACAACAUACAAAAAAUAUUCCAUAUUGCUACCUACAUUGUAUCAUUUGAAAUAUUUCAUUGAUUUUUUUAAGUGAAACAGUUUUUUGUUAGAAAUUAUUUUUUAAAGGUACUAUAGUUCCCUUUCAGUUUGCCUGCAGUUGGGGUAUGAUUGCCAAUGAGAUUACUCUCCACCACAUACCAAAUGACUAAAAGGUCAAUGCAUAUAGAUCUCUGACGGCCUUCAACAUUUAGCAGAACCAAUAACGUAUAGUAAGCUACAUGUACAAAAGACCCCUAAAUAACAUGACCACAGAUAGGCUGCAAAGGAAUAUUCUGCAUCUGUAUGCAAAAGUGAAAUGUAUUUAGACAUAAAGCAUAUGGAGUAAUUCAAUGGAUGCAAAUAAAUAGUCAAUCGAGAACAAAAUCCUACUAUAGAUCUCCAAUGUUAUGGUUUAUGCAGUUUAUUCCACAAAUCGGCAACAAACUUUUACAUACUUCAUUAAAAUAAUUUACAUAAAACAAAAUUGAAAAAUUAAAAAAGAAAACAGGUACCGUUGAAUGGAUAUAAAGGUAAAGCACCCAGGACGGGCAAGUACUAGUACGAAGACACCAGGAUUCUCUUCGAAUUCCAACCAACUAGUCUUACCUAGAAUUUCAAAUAGUCGCCCCCCCCCCUCUAUGCAUAGAGAUAUUACUAUAUAUGUAAUAUUAAUAUAGUAAUUAUAUCAAUGUCCUAAGAAAAUGCAAAUUUUAAAUAAGUAAAGUCCGCAAGAGUUUGGACCUUCACUGCAAACCAGAAAUUGACGCAUGCCUUUGACAAAAUUACCCCUUUUUGUUACAAAAAAAAAAGAAAAAAAAAACAAAAAAAAACAUUACAAUAAAUGUAUUAACGAAAGGAAAAUUAUAAAUGAAAAGAAAUCGAUAUAACCUAAUCAGUAGAUAAGUUGGUUCAAAAAA